UAGAGUUUCCUCUCCAUUUCCCGUAGACCACCUGUUUUUGGCUGUACCCAUCUAAAGGUGUUUGAGGAUGUGUUGAAAAGCGAUUAUGGUGUGAAUUAACUAAAAGUACAUAACGAAGACAUGCAAGUGAAUUUAACAUGUACAUUGCUGACACAAGGUAUCUGUCGCCAGCUUCGGCAUCUCGCACAAUCGAGUCGGUUUACAGUUGUUUCUCAACUGAAUCAAUAAUACCCGACUAUGGCUAAUUAUGUCCCGCCUGGUGUGGCAUAGAAAGGCCGCCUUUGCACAAAGUCGGCACUAACGCGUUGUGCUUUCUCUUAGCUUGCAAUAAUUACGUACCAGUGAAUAGCUUAAUUAACCCGUGCCCAUAAAAUGUUUUGCUUGCCCUAUCAAAAUGCACGGAGAAUUAUUAUUAAUUGCCCAUAAUUGUAUUGGAAACUUAAGAAAUGUAUUUACUCAUUGGCAAAUUCAGCAAGGCUCACUCAAAAUUUAUUUAAAACUGUAUAGUUUUUGUGGUGAAAAGAAGUAUAUGCAAUGCUUGUAUAUAAAUGGGUUUACUAAACACUAGGAAAGAUUUGGGACUGAUCAGGAUGAACUACCUGAAAAAUAUAAGGAGAACUUCGUCGAGAAGUUAGGCUGGCAAGCAGAUGAUGGUUAACCUGCAGAUACCAGAGUUAGAAAAUUAUGUUCAUUUUUCAUUAUAUUUUGUAGAGCAUUUGGUGGCAAAUUAUAAAUAAAAGAGAGUGUUUUAGUUUAAUGUAUUUGCUUCAAUCAGUUGAACAUUUCUGAAAUUGAGCACCAUCAGGUGCAUUGUAACGCUAGCUCUAACCCACCAAUAAUCAUUCUCUAAUUCUCGUAGGUGGCACUGGAAUUAAGUCAUUACUAAAUGGCGUGAGAAACGCGUCAAUUUGCUUCAACACAGCAGCUCGUCGACUUAUUGGCGUCUCUCUAACUGGAAUGCAUUGUCAGGGAUUCUAUUUCAGGUCAGAUAAUGUUUAAACUACCAUUCUUUUUCUUUCUAUAAUUACUCUGGGACAAAGGAUGAAAAAUUGACAAAGUUAUCUAUCUAUAUAAAAAAAAAACGAUGUAAUCAAUGGCGGGCUACUCUUUUAAGUCUUCAUUUAUUUUAAUCUACAGCGACGAACGAGUUGAAGGAGGGCCUUCUAAACGAA
Molecule: non-coding RNA, 1172 nt
Organism: Paramuricea clavata
Lineage: Eukaryota; Metazoa; Cnidaria; Anthozoa; Malacalcyonacea; Plexauridae
Source: the annotation of a GenBank genome assembly